CAACUCACUCCCUCUCUGCAGACCCAUCCCCCUUCUCCCUCCCCCCAUCUCUCUCUCUCAAAGCCCCUGCAUUGUCGCCAUUGCCGCCCACCGCCAUCACGCCCCGCUCCAUCCCAUCCUCCCCCUCUGUCGUCGCCCCUGCCGCCCAUCGUCGUCGCCCCUACCCAGCCACCGCUGUCAGCUCCCGCCAACGCCACCUAAAGCUCCGCCUCCAGCUCAAAGCGUGAAGCAGCCAUGCAUGAAGUACAAAUCAUGGGCAAUUGAAGUUUGACGAAUGUUAAUUAAAGCCCAGCCAUUGGAGGCCCAGCUGCAUGCACCAUUUGUGGGCCCACAUUAGAGAAGCAGAAUUGAAAGCCGCAAGCCCAAAUCAUGUCCAAAUUGGAAGCCCGUAAUUUGAAGGCCCAGCGCAUGAUCAAUUAAAAAGCCUGUCGCAUGCCUCAUUUAAAAGCCCAGCCCACUGAUUGAUUAAAGCCCAGCAGCGUCAGCGUGAACAUAAGGCGCAGAGCAGAAUACGGCCCCUUUGAUGUAACUUAAUCCAAAGAGACGGGCAGCACUGGAGAGCAUCUUCCGUGAUAUAUGUAUUGAAGAGGACGUGCAGAAGAAACCCUAAGCCCCCAUUCGCAAUUGCAACCAGAAUAAGGGGAAUAAACGCACAGCAGUGCACGAGAGAGAGCGACGAGCGCUGGACGGAGCCCCAUCCGCCAUUUUUGUAAUAGAAUAAGGGGCAGAGAGCAGCACAGUGAGGGGAACUCUCAUGUCCUUUCUUUAUUGUUGACGCUUUGUUUUUAUUUCACGCACAACACUUUUAAUUUCUGUCCUUCUAUGUGAUUUCUGUUAAAUUUCUA
Diospyros lotus (date-plum) is the source of this 845-nucleotide long non-coding RNA. RefSeq lists it as uncharacterized. Lineage: Eukaryota; Viridiplantae; Streptophyta; Magnoliopsida; Ericales; Ebenaceae. The transcript has 2 exons. The record is from RefSeq and is a predicted model, not a curated record.